RNAcentral lists this non-coding RNA (30 nucleotides) under Mus musculus (house mouse). Lineage: Eukaryota; Metazoa; Chordata; Mammalia; Rodentia; Muridae. The record is from RNAcentral.
UGAUAAUUCCAGGAAGGAUAGCUAUCACCC